RNAcentral lists this long non-coding RNA (380 nucleotides) under Gallus gallus (chicken). Its description in RNAcentral is "lncRNA (ENSGALG00010000136.1)". The record is from RNAcentral. Lineage: Eukaryota; Metazoa; Chordata; Aves; Galliformes; Phasianidae.
CUUGUAGGGCCGGGGAUGGGCGCCCCAUUGGCGGUGGUGGGACAUAGGGACCCAUAGGGACCCCAUAGAGCCCCAUAGAGACCCCAUAGAGCCCCAUAGAGUCCUCAUAGACCCCCAUAGAGUCCCCAUAGACCCCCAUAGACCCCCAUAGACCCCCAUGGAGACCCCUUAGCGCCCCAUAGAAACCCCUUAGAGCCCCAUAGAGUCCCCAUAGACCCCCAUGGAGACGCCAUAGACCCCCAUAGAGAUCCCAUCGACCCCCAUAGAGCCUCAUAGACCCCCAUAGAGCUCCAUAGAGCCCCCAUAGACCCCAUAUCUCCCUGCCCCUUUCCCCCCCCCACUUGUAGGGCCGGGGAUGGGCGCCCCAUUGUCGGUGGUGG